RNAcentral lists this long non-coding RNA (480 nucleotides) under Manihot esculenta (cassava). Its description in RNAcentral is "long non-coding RNA (MESC_LNC003224)". The record is from RNAcentral. Lineage: Eukaryota; Viridiplantae; Streptophyta; Magnoliopsida; Malpighiales; Euphorbiaceae.
UGGUGGCAAUUUAAAUGGCUAAGUGGGGACAAUGAGAAUUAAUUGAGAGGGAGCAAAUUUAUAAAAGCACAAAACUCUAUACAGUAAGGCCAAUUUAAAGCAAUUAAAGCAAACAACCCAAAUAGUAAAUGAAAAUGCUGAUAACUAAUAAGUCAUAACUCAUAGUCAAUUGUGAGACUGAGAAUCCAUCCUUUCACACUUUUAUGGGAGAGAGGAUAAUAACCAAACUUAAAAUGCUAAGCAUUUAAUAAUCAAAGCAUUCAUAGAGGUUAAGCAAACAAAAUUAAAACAUUAAUAAUAAAGACACUCACUCGUUCUAAAGGUAAGAAAAAUGCAGAAGCACUAGAAGACUUGCUGCCAGCAUUCAAGGCCACAGCCCUGCCUUGCCAAUCAAUCACUGGGGAACCACUUGAACCACCCUUAGUCCCUGAUGCAGCCUAAAGGUAAAGAUACAAGUCAAAACAAUAAAUUAAAUAUUAU